Molecule: long non-coding RNA, 2497 nt
Organism: Taeniopygia guttata (zebra finch)
Lineage: Eukaryota; Metazoa; Chordata; Aves; Passeriformes; Estrildidae
Source: Ensembl
AUGUGCGCUGCCCCGCCCCGUGGAGUUGACAUGAAUGAGCUGAAUGGAUUACUAGAAGAGGUAGCAAAUGAUACUGUUGAAAUGUCCAUUAGCACAUCCUAUGAGCUCCAACAAACACAAAUGGGGACUCCAGAGAACCGCAUGGCCUUGGAUUAUCUGCUUGCUGGCCAAGGAGGAACCUGGGCUAUCAGGGCACAGGGAUGUUGCACUGCUAGCAGUGAUGGGUUUGAAGGCCAACAGCCAGGAAUCACCUUGACAGAAAGAGCAGUAGAAGAGUGGCAGAAAGAAGAAAAUUCUUCUUGGUGGGAUUGGCUUCGUGGCUGCCAAAUUAGAGGCUGCUGUGAAAUGCAUUGGUGGCAGGGCCUGUCAUCAUUGCAGUGUGUGCACUUGUGUAAAAGCUGGGUCCUCUCACAGCUUUGGAGCCUCAUUGCCUGCAGAGGUGGAGGCACCUGCAGGAAUUCCCAGUGACUCUCCAGUCCUUGGCUUCCCCCAGCUGAUGUGUGGCUGUGGAUGAUGGUAAAGCCUGAGGCUAACUGGUGAUGGAUCUUUCCUUAAUCACUCCAGGCAAUCUCUGGUAGCAAUGACUGGAUGCAUUGCUGAGCUUCUUUUGUAAUGCUUUGCUAAUGAUGAUGUGCUUUGCUGAGCUUAUCCUUUUGUAAUUCUUUGCAGCUGUGCAUGAUAUAAAUGACACAAUUCCUUCAGUUGGUGUCUGUGUCUUUGGUGCUGACCCUGCCCACUGGUGAAACAGGGCCCCCUCCAGCCUAAGUGUUACCUGGAAAGACAAAACCCAUCACUCCAAAUGUCCCCCCUUCCUCCUUGUUCCCCCCACUUUUUACCCUGAGUGUGAUGCCUGCCCUAUGGUCUGGGGUAUCCCCGGGGUCAGUUGGGGUCACCUGUCCUGGCUGUGUCCCCUCCCAAACUCCCCCGCAGCCCCAGCCCCUCUCCAGCGUGGCCUGAGGAGGGGCAGGCCAGGCUUUGGCUCAGUGGGAGCUCAGCAAGAACAAAAGCAUCUCUGUGUGCCCAGCCCUGUGCUCAGCACCCGGCCCAGCAGCAGCGUCUCAGUGCCAGGGUCUGUGCCAUCAGUCCCUGCCAGGGGUUUCCAUGGCACCUGCCAGGCCAGGUGACCCAGGUGUGGUGUCCCAGUGAGGGCUGCCAUGCAAACAGUGCCCAGCACUGCCCCUUUCUGUCUGCCUGACCUGGCCUUGGCCCUGGCCCUGCUGUUUGCUGCAGGUUCCGCGGCGCCUGACCGGCCCGCGCGGCACAGGGCAGGCGGCCACGGCACAGACCCACAGCAAGGGCUCCCCUCUGGCUCUGGGCAGUGACACCAGCCCUGAGCAAUGGGCUGGCGCACUGGGGUCAGUGCGGUGUCCAUGGCAGCAGUCCCUUGCAAUGCCCAGUGCAGGUUGGGAUGAUGAUCCACCCUCACAGCCGGCCCAGGGCAGGUGUGCGGUGCCCUUCCCCACAGCCUGUCUGCACAGAAGCACUUCCAGGGCUCUCUGCAUUUCCCUUCCUUCACUCUUGAGUCACUCACACACCUCCCAACGACCCACUGGGAGCUUUGAGCUGCAAGGAGUGCAAAGCUGGUCUGUCCUUCAGGAGUGGCUCUCAUUCUGUCCUGAGCCAACUCUGCAUUUGUGUUCAUUGCAGAUCUUCCUGUGUGUCUACAUCAUUCCUUGCAGGGCUCUGCCUUGGGGAAGGGGAACCUCCUUGGAGGUACCUAGGGCUUGGCACACACUUGAGGAGUGUGUCUGUUUUAAAUGGGGAAGCUUAAGAGUUUUAGAUUGCUUCAAAAAAUAAAAGAAGAAAACCCCUCUUUGCCUGAGCGCAGCCAGUUCUCCAAGCACAGCAGGUCCCAGGUGACUGAGCAGAGACAGGACGGGCUUGGGCUAUGUGGGGCAAGGUUGUCCACACUGCCUCAGACCUCCAGGCACAGCUUCUCUGACUAGGCCAGACAUCCUCAGGAGAGUCCCUGGGCCAAUAUCAGUGGCUGAAUGCUGCAGUCACCUCUGCUCUAAAUAGAAGUCAUAAAAUAUACUCUUCAAAGGGGAACGUGGAUUUAUUGGAAGCUCUUGCAAAUAGUUUUCCAUCAGUAUUGUAGGAAACCUCCUGACAAAGAAUCUCCAGGGACUAAUUCCAGCAGAUAAUUGGAGGCCAUGAUUGCACAAACCUCUCAGGACCCCAAGCAAAAGCCCAAGUCCUUUGAAAAACCUGCCAUCCCUGGGGGCAUGAAGGAGGGCCCAGGGCCAUUCCUGACCAAGGCUCCCCAGGGCCUCUUCCCAGCAGCUCCCUGAGGCCAGGAGUGCAGGGAGGCAGAGGCUCUGUGUAGGCAGCUCAGCUGCUGAGCAGAGCCUGGGCUGGCUGGAGGCAGCAGAAAGGCCAAGGCCUGAGCCCCAGCCCCAGGGAAGGCAGAUCCUGUCCCUCCCCGCCUGCUCAGGGCUCUGCCGGGAGCACUGGCAUAGGGAGGGAUGCUGAGGGCAGGACAAGGGAUGGCAGUGCC